RNAcentral lists this long non-coding RNA (1172 nucleotides) under Fukomys damarensis (Damara mole-rat). Its description in RNAcentral is "lncRNA (ENSFDAG00000024220.1)". Lineage: Eukaryota; Metazoa; Chordata; Mammalia; Rodentia; Bathyergidae. The record is from RNAcentral.
AUUGCCUUUCUUCACCUGUUCUGAGCUAUCCCUGGCUUAAGAGGAACCUGAGAAUCAGUGCUCAUUUAGCGUAUACCACCUGCAUACAUCAAGGGUUUAGAUCUAGAAGAGACCCAUGCUUCCUUCAUUCAUUUGACUGAUGAGGAAACUGAGGCCCAGAAGGGUUAUGACAGUCCCCUGAGGUCUGUAGCUUGGGAGAGUGAGGACAGAGCUCAGGCUGCUGUCCUUCCCCCCACUUCCACAGCUCCCUUUCCCUGUACCCCCCCCAUCUGGGCUUGCCAUGGUAACUAAGCCUCCUCCAGCGUGGGAAGCAGUUACCUAGCAACUCCCCACAACCAGGUCAGAGCCAGGGGAGCGAGACACCACGUGCUGCCUGCCCUGGGGAAUUCAGACAUGUGCGAAUGUGACUGCCACAAACAACCCUGCAUAGAGCCUACCUGGGAGCACCUGGGUAAUGCCUGGGACAGCAACAGCCCCCGAGAAGAGACACACUGCUGCUUGGAGGACAGCACUGCUGAGACACUCAUAGGAAGCUGGGCUGUGCCUUGCCUCUACUGGACUUCUUGGUAUGGGAGAGCAUAACCACUUGUGGCUUAGGACACUUUGGGUCAAGGCUCCAUUUUCUCAUCUCAUCACCACUUCGCUGUAGUGUGCGUGCCGGUCAGCCCAUGUCUGGACAAGUCUUCAUAUUAAAGGUGAAGGAUGCAAAGGAAACAUCUGUCUGAAUAAAUGAAAAUGAUAGCUCCCCGAGCCUUUAUCUCUUGGAUUAGGACUGAAAUCCACCUGUGGCUGCAUGCCCAGAUGAAUAGGCUUCCCCUGGAGAGCCUGGAGGCUUCCCUGCAUUCCCACGCCUGGGAUAUUCCAUCCAGGCGGGCGCAUGUAUGCGCUGGGCCAGGUGCCCCCCCCUGCACAUGAGAGCAAACUGUACCUCUUCAAUGAUGUCAUGUCGGUAGCCUGAAGUCAGCCAUGGUGGGAGUUGUUCUUUUUAAAAUAGAUUUUCUGUUUUUAGUGCAGGUUUAGGUUCACAGCAAAAUGGAACAGAAGGUACAGAGAGUUCCCAUAUACUCCCCACCCCGUGUGUGGAGUGCCUCCUCCACUGCCAACAUCUUGCAUUAGGGUGGAAUAUUUGUUACAGCUGGUGACCCUGUGCUGCUACAUCACAGUCAUCCAAA